CACGCUGUAAACGAUGAGUACUAGGUGUCGGGGGUUACCCCCCUCGGUGCCGCAGCUAACGCAUUAAGUACUCCGCCUGGGAAGUACGCUCGCAAUAGUGUAACUCAAAGGAAUUGACGGGGACCCGAACAAGUAGCGUAGCAUGUGAUUUAAAUCGAAGCAACGCGAAGAACCUUACCUAAGCUUGACAUCCCAAUGACAUCUCCUUAAUCGG
RNAcentral lists this ribosomal RNA (214 nucleotides) under Clostridioides sp. ZZV15-6388. RNAcentral's name for it is "partial 16S ribosomal RNA". It matches the Rfam family "Bacterial small subunit ribosomal RNA", at positions 796 to 1009 of the family's 1533-position model. The record is from RNAcentral. Lineage: Bacteria; Bacillati; Bacillota; Clostridia; Peptostreptococcales; Peptostreptococcaceae.